AACCUGGUUGAUCCUGCCAGUAGUCAUAUGUUUGUCUCAAAGAUUAAGCCAUGCAUGUCUCAGAAUAAGUCUUUAACAUGACAAAUCUGCGAAUGGCUCAUUAAAACAGUUAUAUUCUACCCGGAUUUGACUUUUAUAUGGAUAACUGUGCUAAUUGUAGAGCUAAUACGUGCGCGAAAACCCGACUUUUCGGAAGGGUUGUAUUUAUUAGAUACAGAACCAAUCCUCGCUUGCGAGGACAUUGGAUGAUUCAUAAUAAACGAACGGAGCGGAUGGCUUGUGCCGACGCUAUUCCGGUCGAGUUUCUGACCUAUCAGCUUUCGAUGGUGGGGUCUUGGCCCACCAUGGCUUUGACGGGUAACGGAGAAUUAGGGUUCGGUUCCGGAGAGGGAGCCCGAGAAACGGCUACCACAUCUAAGGAAGGCAGCAGGCGCGCAAAUUACCCAAUCCUGACACAGGGAGGUAGUGACAAGAAAUAACAAUGCAAGCCCGUUGGGUCUUUGUAUUUGGAAUGAUUAGAAUUUAAAUCCCUUUAAGAAUCAAUUGGAGGGCAAGUCUGGUGCCAGCAGCCGCGGUAAUUCCAGCUCCAAUAACGUAUAUUAAAGUUGUUGCGGUUAAAAAGCUCGUAGUUGGAUUUCUGUUGAAAGUGACCGGUCCCUACUCUGUAGGCGUAUCUGGCUCGCUUUUGGCAUCCUCCUGUGGAACGUUGCUGCCCUUUAUUGUGUGGCGCGGGACCCAGGACUUUUACUUUGAGGAAAUUCGAGUGUUUACGGCAGGCAAUCGCCCUGAAGAUAUUAGCAUGGAAUAAUAAUAUAGGACCUUGGUUCUAUUUUGUUGGUUUCUAGAGCUGAGGUAAUGAUUAAUAGGGAUAUUUGGGGGCAUUCGUAUUAACCGGUCAGAGGUGGAAUUCUUGGAUUCGGUUACGACGAACUACUGCGAAAGCAUUUGUCAAGAAUGUUUUCAUUGAUCA
This 970-nucleotide ribosomal RNA is filed under the name uncultured eukaryote. RNAcentral describes it as "bacterial SSU rRNA". It matches the Rfam family "Eukaryotic small subunit ribosomal RNA", at positions 1 to 979 of the family's 1831-position model. The record is from RNAcentral.